GAUGAACGCUGGCGGCGUGCCUAAUACAUGCAAGUCGAGCGAACAGACGAGGAGCUUGCUCCUCUGACGUUAGCGGCGGACGGGUGAGUAACACGUGGAUAACCUACCUAUAAGACUGGGAUAACUUCGGGAAACCGGAGCUAAUACCGGAUAACAUGUUGAACCGCAUGGUUCAACAGUGAAAGACGGUCUUGCUGUCACUUAUAGAUGGAUCCGCGCCGCAUUAGCUAGUUGGUAAGGUAACGGCUUACCAAGGCAACGAUGCGUAGCCGACCUGAGAGGGUGAUCGGCCACACUGGAACUGAGACACGGUCCAGACUCCUACGGGAGGCAGCAGUAGGGAAUCUUCGGCAAUGGGCGAAAGCCUGACGGAGCAACGCCGCGUGAGUGAAGAAGGUCUUCGGAUCGUAAAGCUCUUUUAUUAGGGAAGAACAAAUGUGUAAGUAACUAUGCACGUCUUGACGGUACCUAAUCAGAAAGCCACGGCUAACUACGUG
RNAcentral lists this ribosomal RNA (497 nucleotides) under uncultured bacterium. RNAcentral describes it as "partial 16S ribosomal RNA". It matches the Rfam family "Bacterial small subunit ribosomal RNA", at positions 28 to 507 of the family's 1533-position model. The record is from RNAcentral.